AACGAACGCUGGCGGCAUGCCUAACACAUGCAAGUCGAACGAGACCUUCGGGGCUAGUGGCGCACGGGUGCGUAACGCGGGGGAACCUGCCCUUAGGUUCGGAAUAACUCCCCGAAAGGGGUGCUAAUACCGGAGAAUGUCUUCGGACCAAAGGCUUAUCGCCUUUGGAUGGGCCCGCGUGGGAUUAGCUAGUUGGUAGGGUAAAAGCCUACCAAGGCGGCGCUCCCUAGCUGGUCUGAGAGGCUGAUCAGCCACACUGGGACUGAGACACGGCCCAGACUCCUACGGGAGGCAGCAGUGGGGAAUAUUGGACAGUGGGCGAAAGCCUGAUCCAGCUAUGCCGCGUGAGUGAUGAAGGCCUUAGGGUUGUAAAGCUCUUUUACCCGGGAUGAUAAUGACAGUACCGGGAGAAUAAGCUCCGGCUAACUCCGCG
RNAcentral lists this ribosomal RNA (433 nucleotides) under uncultured bacterium. RNAcentral describes it as "partial 16S ribosomal RNA". It matches the Rfam family "Bacterial small subunit ribosomal RNA", at positions 29 to 507 of the family's 1533-position model. The record is from RNAcentral.